This 1163-nucleotide long non-coding RNA is filed under the name Marmota monax (woodchuck). Lineage: Eukaryota; Metazoa; Chordata; Mammalia; Rodentia; Sciuridae. The record is from RNAcentral.
UGCUCCAUGUAUGAAGCUUCCCCACAAUGACAUUUUUUCCUCUGACAGACCACAUACUACAAAAAUGAAAGGGAACUCAGCUACCAGAAGUUGAUUUGGUAUUCAGAAAUUUUUCCCACUCAGUGCCUAAUUUUCUUUCCCACUGUCACAGAUUUUACUCUUUUAUUCUUGUAGAUUUAUGUGGGUUUAACCAUAUAGCAGUGUAUUUGAGGGCAUGGGCAAGGGCAAAGAAAUAAAUCCUCCAUAAACAAACAGGUUUCAGUGCACGACCAGUAAUGCUUCAUUGCAAUAUCACAAUGUUUUAAUAUAGAUUACUUUCUUUAUGCAAUGCAUGAAUCAGUUAACACUCAUGCAAAAUACAUUCCAUCUGCUCAGACAGAUGUAAGCUGCAGUGUUUCCAAUUCUAUCAAACAGUACAACUAGCUGAAAGAGAAGAACUGACACAGAUGGGCAAUGUGUGAGGAGAGGGGCUCAAAUUAAAGAAAAAGCUUUGUCUUAAAAUCUACCCAGUUGAAAAAUGAGAUUCUCAUUUCAUCCAUGUUUGUCCACAGAGGUACAAACACAACAGCCCUUAGUAUGAAGUAAGAUGGAGAGGGUGUUUAUGUCUUAGUGAAAACAUUUUAACUAAAUGGAAUCACCUUUGGAGUCUGUAGCAGUGAUUAGCAAUUCUAAAAGGCUCUUUAAGUAACAUAAGCUUGACUAGGAUAGAUGCUAGGACUAAGGGAAAUGUCAAGGGGUAUGGAAAAUGGAAAAGGAAAGAAUAAUAGGAAAAGUGAGAGAAGAGGUAGAUUGUUGAAGAAAGAUUGGGAGAGGAGGAGAUGAUGAGAAAAAGAUGACUUCUAUUAAAGAUUGGCCAAGAAAUGCCAACAAUAGCCCUAAAGAUCUUAUCAGUAUUCUUAAGCACAGAUGUAAAAGAUAAAAGUAAUAAUUUCCAUCAAUAUCAAGUUGCUAACUUAUCAUUAAUUCCCAAGCUUUUCCAAACGCAAAUACUUAAAUAUUGUCAUUGUAGCCCCUAGGGUUGACUGAAAGCUACUUCUCCAUGUAGUCUGUUGCCUUGAAUUCACCUUUGUGGACAAUGCUCAAAGUCCGAUAUUCCCUCUCUUAACACUCUACCUUGCUGCCACAUUCACUCAGCAUCCUAUAUGGCCUUUGCAAAAUCAAAG